UUAUGACUUGUGUACUGUGAGUUUAUCUGAGCUACCUAGAUGAAUAUAACUAGGCUUGGAAAUCCAUAUUUAUAACUAAUUUUGCUACUCCCUUGAACAUUCAUGUUUCCACUCAAGCACCAAGCCUUGCAUACAAUAUAUGGUACUCUAAUAUAGUAUUAGACAAAGAUGUUGAUGCUUCACCAACACAAUAUGUGCACCCCAAAUAUGUUUGAACAUGUGCCUGCUCCUAAUAUUACACAGACUCUAACCUGAACCAUUCAGACAAUUGACACAGAGCCAGUUUUGUUAAAAUGUACAUAGAAGCAUAUAAUCAAAAGUAUGAAAGCAUAUGCCAAUAUGUAAAAUAAAUAUUAUCAAGGCUAUGUUCUGAACAAAAGUGUCAAGGCUCAAACAAAUAUGUCCAUGAUAAACUCUAACAGAGUAACUAUACGCUAGCACACUAACAGGCCCAGGGCGCCUGUGCGGCACUGUUAUGUACUGCUAACCUGAGUUUAGUUGGGAAUAAUCAAAGCAUUAGUAGUACCUACUCCUACAUGGGAAUUCUUCCAAAAUCUUAUCGUAAUCGCAGCACUCUCGAUUCUCCAAUCUGCUCGUCGUAGCUACUUCCGCUGAUUAAUUUCUUUGCAAUUCCUCCAAAACUGAUCCAUCGUUGGCAAGGACUAGGUACACUCCACUUUCAAUCUUCCAUCUGUGUAUUGAGUAUUCUCUUCUGAUCUUCAUCUUCUCAUGUAAUACACUGUUGAACAGACUCGUGUUCUUCGUUUGAUCCCCUCUGUUGACAGCUUUCACACAUCGAUUGAAGUCAGCAAGUUGGAAGUGACACACUGCUUGGUAACCGAUAACCGAUUCACCAAGAGGAGCAGGCGAGCAGCAAGCCAGACGAGACAAGAUUUUCAUCUUUUUGACUCAAGAUUUAGUGGAUUAGCUCUGGUAGCAAUUGAAAAUGAUGUUUUGGAGAAGGUUUCUUAUAAAAACUACUUGAAGAUUGUAUCAAGAAAUGCUAGAAGCUAGGAUGGAGCGUUUCUAUUAAAGGAAAUACACAGGACAUCAGAUUUCCAAGAUUUGUUGGUGAUAAGAUGUAAUUCGUCAAACAAUCAUAUUACCAAAAGUUAUUUUCAUAUUUGGCUUUUGUAA
Brachypodium distachyon (stiff brome) is the source of this 1137-nucleotide long non-coding RNA. RefSeq lists it as uncharacterized. NCBI's taxonomy places the organism in Eukaryota, Viridiplantae, Streptophyta, Magnoliopsida, Poales, Poaceae. The record is from RefSeq and is a predicted model, not a curated record. The transcript has 2 exons.